CGGAUCCGCGCCGCUGCAGAGUUUGAUCCUGGCUCAGGACGAACGCUGGCGGCGUGCUUAACACAUGCAAGUCGAACGGAGAACCCCGGAUGAAAUUUUCGGAUGGAUUCUGGGAAUUCUCAGUGGCGGACGGGUGAGUAACGCGUGAGCAAUCUGCCUCAGAGAGGGGGACAACAGCUGGAAACGGCUGCUAAUACCGCAUAAGACCACACUACAGCAUUGUAGAGGGGUAAAAGGAGUGAUCCGCUUUGAGAUGAGCUCGCGUCCCAUUAGUUAGUUGGCGGGGUAACGGCCCACCAAGACGACGAUGGGUAGCCGACCUGAGAGGGUGAUCGGCCACACUGGAACUGAGACACGGUCCAGACUCCUACGGGAGGCAGCAGUGGGGAAUAUUGGGCAAUGGGCGAAAGCCUGACCCAGCAACGCCGCGUGAAGGAAGAAGGUCUUCGGAUUGUAAACAUCUGUCCUAUGGGACGAAGGAAGUGACGGUACCAUAGGAGGAAGCCCCGGCUAACUACGUGCCAGCAGCCGCGGUAAUACGUAGGGGGCGAGCGUUGUCCGGAAUUACUGGGCGUAAAGGGUGCGUAGGCGGAAUGUCAAGUCAGAUGUGAAAUACCCGGGCUUAACCCGGGGGCUGCAUUUGAAACUGACAUCCUUGAGUGCAGGAGAGGCAAGUGGAAUUCCUAGUGUAGCGGUGAAAUGCGUAGAUAUUAGGAGGAACACCGGUGGCGAARGCGACUUGCUGGACUGUAACUGACGCUGAGGCACGAAAGCGUGGGGAGCAAACAGGAUUAGAUACCCUGGUAGUCCACGCCGUAAACGAUGGAUACUAGGUGUGGGGUCCGAUAGGAUUCCGUGCCGCAGCAAACGCAAUAAGUAUCCCGCCUGGGGAGUACGAUCGCAAGGUUGAAACUCAAAGGAAUUGACGGGGGCCCGCACAAGCAGCGGAGCAUGUGGUUUAAUUCGAAGCAACGCGAAGAACCUUACCAAGGCUUGACAUCCCUUGACCGGUAUAGAGAUAUACCUUUCCCUUCGGGGACAAGGAGACAGGUGGUGCAUGGUUGUCGUCAGCUCGUGUCGUGAGAUGUUGGGUUAAGUCCCGCAACGAGCGCAACCCUUAUUGCUAGUUGCCAGCACGCGAUGGUGGGAACUCUAGCGAGACCGCCGGGGACAACUCGGAGGAAGGUGGGGACGACGUCAAAUCAUCAUGCCCCUUAUGUCUUGGGCUACACACGUGCUACAAUGGCCGGUACAGAGGGCAGCGACCCCGUGAGGGAGAGCGAAUCUCAAAAAGCCGGUCCCAGUUCGGAUUGUGGGCUGCAACCCGCCCACAUGAAGUCGGAGUUGCUAGUAAUCGCGAAUCAGCAUGUCGCGGUGAAUGCGUUCCCGGGCCUUGUACACACCGCCCGUCACACCACGGAAGUUGGGAGCACCCGAAGCCAGUGGCUUAACUGUAAAGAGAGAGCUGUCGAAGGUGAGAUCAAUGACUGGGGUGAAGUCGUAACAAGGUAA
RNAcentral lists this ribosomal RNA (1512 nucleotides) under uncultured bacterium. Its description in RNAcentral is "bacterial SSU rRNA". It matches the Rfam family "Bacterial small subunit ribosomal RNA". The record is from RNAcentral.